CACAUAAAACCAAUACAGCAACCAAUCAAACACAAAUUCAAAACCAUAACCUAACAUAAAAGCCCAAAUUUACCAACACCAACUUCUCGAAAUGCUUUGUGCAAAAAGCUUAUGUGAGACAGUGAUACUGUGAACCAAGGGAAUGCUCUGCCUCGCAUGGGAUGGGAUGGGAUGGAAAAUUGAGAACUUUGGGAAGCAAGAAGGAAAAAGGAGGCAGAUUUACUCACCUGCAGUCCCAUCGCCCUCGCUGCCCUCAGUCGCCAGCAGCAAGUGCUCCACUGCUGCUGCUCCUCCUCCUCCUCCUCCACCU
RNAcentral lists this unclassified non-coding RNA (310 nucleotides) under Hevea brasiliensis (rubber tree). Lineage: Eukaryota; Viridiplantae; Streptophyta; Magnoliopsida; Malpighiales; Euphorbiaceae. The record is from RNAcentral.